Molecule: long non-coding RNA, 504 nt
Filed under: Homo sapiens (human)
Lineage: Eukaryota; Metazoa; Chordata; Mammalia; Primates; Hominidae
Description: HSALNT0386143
Source: RNAcentral
UCAACAGAAAAAUCAAAUUCUGUAAAAUAUUUAAAGAGGUUUAUUCUGAGCCAGCAUGAGUGACCACGGCCUGGAGAACAGUCUCAAGAGGCCCUGAGAAAGUGUGCCCCAGGCGGCUGGGUUACUUUGGCUUUAUAAAUUUUAGGGAGACAGAAGUUACAGGCCACCCCACUGACCCACCCCUAGCAAUGAUGGAUGUGGCAGCUUUGAGCAUCUUCACCCAGCAAUUUCUCUGUGCCAGGCCCAGCUCUCAGGCCUGAGGAUGAAGAUGAAAAAGACACAGCUCUUACAACUGGUGACCUUAGGACCUGUGCACAGGUUUUGGAGGAAACACAAUGAUCAGAGUGGGAAGCAGAGCGAGAGAUCUUGACAGAUCUUUAGGACCACAUGACAGUAUCUAGACCGCACCCUCUGUUAAAACACUUGACAUUGAGUUUUACUUUGCUGUUUGUGGCUCCCUGCUUUUAGGGCUAUUCUUUCUAUACAUAUGCCCAGUUUACCCCU